Peromyscus leucopus (white-footed mouse) is the source of this 2200-nucleotide long non-coding RNA. RefSeq lists it as uncharacterized. The record is from RefSeq and is a predicted model, not a curated record. NCBI's taxonomy places the organism in Eukaryota, Metazoa, Chordata, Mammalia, Rodentia, Cricetidae. The transcript has 2 exons.
ACCCAGGAUUUCAGGGCCCCCGGGUCGCUUCCGGCGGGGUUUUGUGGCGCGUCUCCGCCUGUCGGAGGCGAUUGCCCCUCCUGAACUGAAGCCCUCAGGGUGUGGCCGCCCUGCCGGCACCUGGCUCGGGGUAAGUCACGUCAUCGCACGUCACUGAAUAGCGUCAUCGAUCGCGUCACUGCGUAUGGGGAAGAGCCGGAGCGCCUGUUGGGGAAAUACCUAAGCUGGUUCGUUGAUGGACAGUCGGCUAGGUGCGAGAAAGUUCUACAAGGAGGAAGAGUGAGCCAAGUGAGUCAUUAACAACAUUAAGGUGCGAUGAAAGCCAGGCCUGGAAUCCCAUGACUCAGUUUCCUCGAGCUGUCAGUGUGAAAAAUAAUACCCGACCUGCCUGCACUAGACAGCUGUGGAUUUAAGACGAAAUACUGCGUGCGAGGCUGCUGGGAACCUGGUCGCCUUCGAACUUUUAAGACCGUGGCAGAAGGCCGACUAUAACUACUCACCAUUCCGCCUUCCAGGACUACCAAAUGUAAAGUAUAAAACUGGACUUCAUCUUUCCCGUAAGAAGAAACCGUAGAGCAAGGAAAGCAGGGGCUGUGGGCUUCCAAGCCGUAGAAAUCGGGGUGCAAGUCUGAGAGCCUGGCUGAAGCUAGAGAGUCGUCUCCCUUGAAACUUAGAAUAAUGUUCCCUACACUGACACACACACCCCGCCCCCAUCUCCAUAACCUGCUAACACGUUCUGUAACAUCACAGAAGGGAGUUUGCAGAUAUGGUUCAGGUAAGGACAUGACAUACCCUGAAUUGGCCUGCUGGGCUGGGGACAAGAGCAGAGUUGGAAAAGGGCAUAUGAGAGAAGCAGAGGUCACAGAGAUUUGAAGACAUCACCCCGUUGGCCUUAAAAAUUGAUCCAAAGGAGUGCAGGCAGCCUAUAGAAGCUGGAAAGGGCAAGCAACUGGAUUCUUGAAUUAAGGACGUUUGACUUCUAGAACACUAACAUGAAUUCUUGUUAAAGCACUCAGUUUGUACUAACUUGUUACAACAGCCAUAAGAAACCAGCGCAGUCAACAAUAAAGACGACAGUUUCCUGGUGUGUUCUCCUUCAUGUAGAAAGAAAAAGCAGAGUUUAUCAGGCUGCUUCACUGUGACUAUGGUCUCAUGGAGGGGCCCUCCACAUUUAGAGGAAAACAUCAAACAGCCAAAUUACACAGGUCUGUGACUGAUGAGAGAAGUUGAGGUUUGGAGGAAGUUAAGCCCUCAGACAUGGAUGAGACCAAUCAAGGCAAAAAUAUAACCUCAACUUUUAUGUUAGACUCAGUUGCUUAUAACAACAGCAUCCUUAAAAAUCCAACUAAGGCCGUUUCACCAAACACUUAAGAGUUAGUAUAAGCUGUGAUACUUCUCUCUGGACAGCUAUGGCUACCACUCAGUUAUGCAAGCUGUUCAGUUUGGAGGCGAGGUAAACACUUGGGUAGAUAGAUAGCUGCUUGCCGUAAAUGGGGUUUGUUGUUUGGUUGGUUUUGUUAAGGUGUAGGCUGACUAUGAGGGUGAAACAGUUAAUAGACCAAGGUUUAGAUCUAUGACAUGCAGUCCUUUUCUAGGAAACCUAUCGGGGUCCUGAAUUGGUUAAAAUGCUCUUUCUACAUAUUAAUAUAAUGCCCAUGCAUUGUAGCAUUUACUGUAAUAAUGGUGCUUACUACAUGCCAGGUACACAUUCCUGUACCUGUGCUCCUUCUGUUUCAGUGUUACAGGCAUUACAAGUCUUGUAACAGCCCUUGAGUAGGUGAUAUUAUUAAUUACCAUACUUACAGAUCAGAAAGCUACAUCACAGAAAGUUGAAGUAAUUACUCAAGUUCACAAAGUUAAUAAGUGAUAGAGCCAGGAUUCCUGAUGCUAGAACCCAUGUGCUGUAACCAUUCAUACCAAAUCCUCCCUGUUCACCCCCGUGCUAGAAAACACGGCUUACACAACUCAGCAGUGUUUGUGUUGCAGGGCUGCUGUGUGUGUGUGAUCCCACUCUCCCUUCCAUGAACACCAGAGACUCUUCUUUCCGAGUUGGAAGUCACAAAUCCUUGGGCACUCUGGAUAGCUGAUGCAUCUCUCUUCAUAGGCUACACCAGUUGUAUAACUGAAUUGUGUAACCAUGCUUCCCAUUCAUGUCCCUGCCCCGAAGCCCUGAGUAAAUUUGCUCACUUGGCAUUUGUAA